AAACUUACCAGGUCAAGACAUGGGCGUGAUUGACAGGCUAAUGACUUUUCUCGAUUCCAUGGAUGGUGGUGCAUGGUCGCACUUAGUUGGUGCAGUGAUUUGUCAGGUUUAUUCCGGUAACGAACGAGACCUCGGCCUUGUAAAUAGCUAUGCUGCUUACAGGGACAUUGGCGGCUACGCCAAGGAAGCUCGAGGCAAUUGCAGAUCUGGAAUGCCCUUAGAUGUCCUGGGUCGCACGCGUGCUACAAUGACGCCACGAACGAGCUUGUGUGAUGAAAGUUACGCAUAAUCAGCAGUCGGCGUCUUAAGGGAUAGUCUCUUGUAACUGUGGGACUCCAACUAGGAAUGUCUCGUAAGCACAAGUCAACAUCUUGUGUUGAUUACGUCCCUGCUCUUUGUACACACCGCCCGUCGCUCCUACCGAUCGAGUGUUUAGGUGAAUUUGAUGGACGUAAGGAAGUCAAAUAAACCUGAGCACUAGAGGAAGAGAAGUCGAGCAG
Molecule: ribosomal RNA, 500 nt
Filed under: uncultured Myrionecta
Lineage: Eukaryota; Ciliophora; Litostomatea; Cyclotrichida; Mesodiniidae
Description: bacterial SSU rRNA
Rfam family: Eukaryotic small subunit ribosomal RNA
Source: RNAcentral